This 1046-nucleotide long non-coding RNA is filed under the name Pan troglodytes (chimpanzee). RNAcentral's name for it is "long non-coding RNA NONPTRT004091". The record is from RNAcentral. Lineage: Eukaryota; Metazoa; Chordata; Mammalia; Primates; Hominidae.
UACAAAAAAUACAAAAAUCAGCAUGGUAGUGCAUGUCUGUAAUUCCAGCUACUCUGGAGGCUGAGGCAGGAGAAUCACUUGAACUCGGGAGGCAGAGGUUACAGUGAGCCGAGAUUGUGCCACUGCACUCCAGCCUGGGCGACAGAGCAAGAUAAGACAGAAAUCUCAUUCCUUCUCUUCCAUCUCCAGAAGAGAUGAAAACAUAUGUUCAUACAAAGACCUAAAAAUGAAUAUUUAUAGCAUAAUUAUUUACAAUAAUCCAAACUAUUGAAACAACCCAAAUGUCUAUCAACUUAUGAGUGAAUAAACAAAUUGUGGUAUACGCAUAUAAUGGAAUACUACACAGUAACGAAAAGAAACAAACCAUUGGCACAUAGAAAAACAUGGAGGAAUCUCAAAGCAUUCAUUGUAUUAAGUGAAAGAAGCCAGAUACCAAAGACUAUAUAUAAUUUCCAUUUCUAUUACAUCCUGGGAAAGCUAAAUCUACAAGAACAGGAAACAUAUCAGUGGGGCCCAGGGGCUGGAGGUGAGAGGAGGGAAUUUAUUACAGAGAAGCACAAAAGAACAUGUUUGGGUAAUGGGAUUGUUCUAUUUCUUGAUUGCAGUGAUGGAUACAUGUCAAAUUCAUCAAACUGUAUCCUUAAAAGAGUAAAUUUUGUUGUAUAUGUUUCAGUAAACUUGACUUUUAAAAAUAAUAUUAUAAUAAUGAGCUAUCCUUCUUUGCCCAAGGGGCAAAUUUUUUUAAAAAAAUUAAUAACAUUCAGGUCUGGACGCAGUGGUUUACACCUGUAAUCCCAGCACUUUGGGAGGCCGAGGCCAGGAAUUGGAGACCAGCCUGGGCAUUAUGGUGAAACCCUGUAUCUACCAAAAAUAUAUACAAAAAUUAGCCGGGCGUGGUGGUGCAUGCCUGUAAUCUCAGCUACUCUAGAGGCUGAGGCAUGAGAAUCACUUGAACCCGGGAGGCUGAGGUUGCGGUGGGCUGAGAGCGCACCCCUCCAGGCUGGGCGACAGAGUAAGACUGUUUCUCAAACAACAACAACAAAAAC